GAUAACGGCGUCGAGCGGCGGACGGGUGAGUAAUGCCUAGGAAAUUGCCCUGAUGUGGGGGAUAACCAUUGGAAACGAUGGCUAAUACCGCAUGAUGCCUACGGGCCAAAGAGGGGGACCUUCGGGCCUCUCGCGUCAGGAUAUGCCUAGGUGGGAUUAGCUAGUUGGUGAGGUAAGGGCUCACCAAGGCGACGAUCCCUAGCUGGUCUGAGAGGAUGAUCAGCCACACUGGAACUGAGACACGGUCCAGACUCCUACGGGAGGCAGCAGUGGGGAAUAUUGCACAAUGGGCGCAAGCCUGAUGCAGCCAUGCCGCGUGUGUGAAGAAGGCCUUCGGGUUGUAAAGCACUUUCAGUCGUGAGGAAGGUGGUGUAGUUAAUAGCUGCAUUAUUUGACGUUAGCGACAGAAGAAGCACCGGCUAACUCCGUGCCAGCAGCCGCGGUAAUACCGAGGGUGCGAGCGUUAAUCCGAAUUACUGGGCGUAAAGCGCAUG
This 494-nucleotide ribosomal RNA is filed under the name Vibrio sp. Its description in RNAcentral is "bacterial SSU rRNA". It matches the Rfam family "Bacterial small subunit ribosomal RNA", at positions 78 to 571 of the family's 1533-position model. Lineage: Bacteria; Pseudomonadati; Pseudomonadota; Gammaproteobacteria; Vibrionales; Vibrionaceae. The record is from RNAcentral.